GGUUAAGCGACUAAGCGUACACGGUGGAUGCCCUGGCAGUCAGAGGCGAUGAAGGGCGUGCUAAUCUGCGAUAAGCGCCGGUAAGGUGAUAUGAACCGUUAUAACCGGCGAUACCCGAAUGGGGAAACCCAGUGUGACUCGUCACACUAUCAUUAACUGAAUCCAUAGGUUAAUGAGGCGAACCGGGGGAACUGAAACAUCUAAGUACCCCGAGGAAAAGAAAUCAACCGAGAUUCCCCCAGUAGCGGCGAGCGAACGGGGAGGAGCCCAGAGCCUGAAUCAGCAUGUGUGUUAGUGGAAGCGUCUGGAAAGGCGCGCGAUACAGGGUGACAGCCCCGUACACAAAAGCGCAUGUGCUGUGAGCUCGAUGAGUAGGGCGGGACACGUGGUAUCCUGUCUGAAUAUGGGGGGACCAUCCUCCAAGGCUAAAUACUCCUGACUGACCGAUAGUGAACCAGUACCGUGAGGGAAAGGCGAAAAGAACCCCGGCGAGGGGAGUGAAAAAGAACCUGAAACCGUGUACGUACAAGCAGUGGGAGCACAGGUUUACCUGUGUGACUGCGUACCUUUUGUAUAAUGGGUCAGCGACUUAUAUUCUGUAGCAAGGUUAACCGAAUAGGGGAGCCGCAGGGAAACCGAGUCUUAAUUGGGCGUUAAGUUGCAGGGUAUAGACCCGAAACCCGGUGAUCUAGCCAUGGGCAGGUUGAAGGUUGGGUAACACUAACUGGAGGACCGAACCGACUAAUGUUGAAAAAUUAGCGGAUGACCUGUGGCUGGGGGUGAAAGGCCAAUCAAACCGGGAGAUAGCUGGUUCUCCCCGAAAGCUAUUUAGGUAGCGCCUCGUGAAUUCAUCUCCGGGGGUAGAGCACUGUUUCGGCUAGAGGGCCAUCCCGGCUUACCAACCCGAUGCAAACUGCGAAUACCGGAGAAUGUUAUCACGGGAGACACACGGCGGGUGCUAACGUCCGUCGUGAAGAGGGAAACAACCCAGACCGCCAGCUAAGGUCCCAAAGUCAUGGUUAAGUGGGAAACGAUGUGGGAAGGCCCAGACAGCCAGGAUGUUGGCUUAGAAGCAGCCAUCAUUUAAAGAAAGCGUAAUAGCUCACUGGUCGAGUCGGCCUGCGCGGAAGAUGUAACGGGGCUAAACCAUGCACCGAAGCUGCGGCAGCGACGCUGAUGCGUUGUUGGGUAGGGGAGCGUUCUGUAAGCCUGUGAAGGUGUGUCGUGAGGCAUGCUGGAGGUAUCAGAAGUGCGAAUGCUGACAUAAGUAACGAUAAAGCGGGUGAAAAGCCCGCUCGCCGGAAGACCAAGGGUUCCUGUCCAACGUUAAUCGGGGCAGGGUGAGUCGACCCCUAAGGCGAGGCCGAAAGGCGUAGUCGAUGGGAAACGGGUUAAUAUUCCCGUACUUGGUGUUACUGCGAAGGGGGGACGGAGAAGGCUAUGUUGGCCGGGCGACGGUUGUCCCGGUUUAAGCGUGUAGGUGUGUGUUCCAGGUAAAUCCGGUUCACUUUAACACUGAGGCGUGAUGACGAGGCACUACGGUGCUGAAGCAACAAAUGCCCUGCUUCCAGGAAAAGCCUCUAAGCAUCAGGUAACAUCAAAUCGUACCCCAAACCGACACAGGUGGUCAGGUAGAGAAUACCAAGGCGCUUGAGAGAACUCGGGUGAAGGAACUAGGCAAAAUGGUGCCGUAACUUCGGGAGAAGGCACGCUGACACGUAGGUGAAGUGAUUUACUCACGGAGCUGAAGUCAGUCGAAGAUACCAGCUGGCUGCAACUGUUUAUUAAAAACACAGCACUGUGCAAACACGAAAGUGGACGUAUACGGUGUGACGCCUGCCCGGUGCCGGAAGGUUAAUUGAUGGGGUCAGCGCAAGCGAAGCUCCUGAUCGAAGCCCCGGUAAACGGCGGCCGUAACUAUAACGGUCCUAAGGUAGCGAAAUUCCUUGUCGGGUAAGUUCCGACCUGCACGAAUGGCGUAAUGAUGGCCAGGCUGUCUCCACCCGAGACUCAGUGAAAUUGAACUCGCUGUGAAGAUGCAGUGUACCCGCGGCAAGACGGAAAGACCCCGUGAACCUUUACUAUAGCUUGACACUGAACAUUGAGCCUUGAUGUGUAGGAUAGGUGGGAGGCUUUGAAGUGUGGACGCCAGUCUGCAUGGAGCCGACCUUGAAAUACCACCCUUUAAUGUUUGAUGUUCUAACGUGGACCCGUAAUCCGGGUUGCGGACAGUGUCUGGUGGGUAGUUUGACUGGGGCGGUCUCCUCCUAAAGAGUAACGGAGGAGCACGAAGGUUGGCUAAUCCUGGUCGGACAUCAGGAGGUUAGUGCAAUGGCAUAAGCCAGCUUGACUGCGAGCGUGACGGCGCGAGCAGGUGCGAAAGCAGGUCAUAGUGAUCCGGUGGUUCUGAAUGGAAGGGCCAUCGCUCAACGGAUAAAAGGUACUCCGGGGAUAACAGGCUGAUACCGCCCAAGAGUUCAUAUCGACGGCGGUGUUUGGCACCUCGAUGUCGGCUCAUCACAUCCUGGGGCUGAAGUAGGUCCCAAGGGUAUGGCUGUUCGCCAUUUAAAGUGGUACGCGAGCUGGGUUUAGAACGUCGUGAGACAGUUCGGUCCCUAUCUGCCGUGGGCGCUGGAGAACUGAGGGGGGCUGCUCCUAGUACGAGAGGACCGGAGUGGACGCAUCACUGGUGUUCGGGUUGUCAUGCCAAUGGCACUGCCCGGUAGCUAAAUGCGGAAGAGAUAAGUGCUGAAAGCAUCUAAGCACGAAACUUGCCCCGAGAUGAGUUCUCCCUGAGACUUAGAGUCUCCUGAAGGAACGUUGAAGACGACGACGUUGAUAGGCCGGGUGUGUAAGCGCAGCGAUGCGUUGAGCUAACCGGUACUAAUGAACCGUGAGGCUUAACCUU
Molecule: ribosomal RNA, 2908 nt
Filed under: Salmonella enterica subsp. enterica serovar Inverness
Lineage: Bacteria; Pseudomonadati; Pseudomonadota; Gammaproteobacteria; Enterobacterales; Enterobacteriaceae
Description: 23S ribosomal RNA
Rfam family: Bacterial large subunit ribosomal RNA
Source: RNAcentral